Molecule: transfer RNA, 68 nt
Filed under: Anomaloglossus blanci
Lineage: Eukaryota; Metazoa; Chordata; Amphibia; Anura; Aromobatidae
Description: tRNA-Tyr
Rfam family: tRNA
About the family: Transfer RNA (tRNA) molecules are approximately 80 nucleotides in length.
Source: RNAcentral
GGUAAGAUGGCUGAGAGUAGGCAGCGGGUUGUAGCCCCGAGUACAGAGGUUUAGCCCUCUUCUUAUCA